ACUAUUUCCUGAGAUUGUGCAAUAAGCCAGCUCCGAGGUAGUAAGAACAGCGCAGAUGUUCCCCCACUAGAGUCAGCAGACCAGAGCUGGGACUGCACUUGGCAGAAUUUGGGGAAAACUCACUUGACUUCACUGGGCCACCGUAGCUUUCUCCUCUUGAGAGCUUGCUUCCCACCUUCACUGGGGAUCCUUGCAACGAGCACCCCAGAAGGGGUCUUCUGUGUGCUGAAUCACGUGGGUCAUUGGAUAAGCCUACUUAGAGUGGUUUGGAAGAGGAUUAGGACAUUUGCGUUCCUUCCAAGCUGACUUUCCAGGCAGGGUCGGUCAGCAGCUGGAGACUCCCUUGGCCAAGGGCCAGAGCUCUCACAAACUGCGCUGUUGGAAGGGCCUGAAACCAACCCAGGAUGCCACAUAAUAUGCCGCUGUCGUGCUUCCUUAGCCAUCCAGCUGGUGGCAGCUUUGCAAGCUUUCCUUGUGUUUCACCACCUUGACGCUUGGCGGAAGUACUAGUCAGGGUCUCACUUUGUAAUUUAGACUGGACUUGAACUCACUA
Long non-coding RNA from Chinchilla lanigera (long-tailed chinchilla), 553 nucleotides. RefSeq lists it as uncharacterized. Lineage: Eukaryota; Metazoa; Chordata; Mammalia; Rodentia; Chinchillidae. The transcript is spliced from 4 exons. The record is from RefSeq and is a predicted model, not a curated record.